RNAcentral lists this ribosomal RNA (511 nucleotides) under uncultured bacterium. RNAcentral describes it as "bacterial SSU rRNA". It matches the Rfam family "Bacterial small subunit ribosomal RNA", at positions 29 to 518 of the family's 1533-position model. The record is from RNAcentral.
AACGAACGCUGGCGGCGUGCUUAACACAUGCAGGUCGAACGCGAAAGGGACUUCGGUCCUGAGUAAAGUGGCGCACGGGUGAGUAACGCGUAGAUAACCUGUCUUCAUGUCUGGAAUAAUACGCCGAAAGGGGUACUAAUACCGGAUAUUCUUGCUUUUCAUAAGUUAUGCAAGCAAAGGUGGCCUCUGCAUAUGCUACUGCAUGAAGAGGGGUCUGCGUACCAUUAGCUAGUAGGUGGGGUAAUGGCCUACCUAGGCGACGAUGGUUAGCGGGUCUGAGAGGAUGAUCCGCCACACUGGCACUGGAACACGGGCCAGACUCCUACGGGAGGCAGCAGUGAGGAAUAUUGCGCAAUGGGGGAAACCCUGACGCAGCGACGCCGCGUGAGUGAAGGAAGGCCUUCGGGUCGUAAAGCUCUGUCAAGAGGAAAGAAGUGUACAAUGGCUAAUACCUGUUGUAUUUGACGGUACCUCUAAAGGAAGCACCGGCUAACUCCGUGCCAGCCGCUGC